RNAcentral lists this ribosomal RNA (525 nucleotides) under uncultured bacterium. Its description in RNAcentral is "bacterial SSU rRNA". It matches the Rfam family "Bacterial small subunit ribosomal RNA", at positions 353 to 896 of the family's 1533-position model. The record is from RNAcentral.
AGUGGGGAAUCUUAGACAAUGGGCGCAAGCCUGAUCUAGCCAUGCCGCGUGAGUGACGAAGGCCUUAGGGUCGUAAAGCUCUUUCGCCAGAGAUGAUAAUGACAGUAUCUGGUAAAGAAACCCCGGCUAACUCCGUGCCAGCAGCCGCGGUAAUACGGAGGGGGUUAGCGUUGUUCGGAAUUACUGGGCGUAAAGCGCACGUAGGCGGAUUGGAAAGUUGGGGGUGAAAUCCCAGGGCUCAACCCUGGAACUGCCUCCAAAACUCCCAGUCUGGAGUUCGAGAGAGGUGAGUGGAAUUCCGAGUGUAGAGGUGAAAUUCGUAGAUAUUCGGAGGAACACCAGUGGCGAAGGCGGCUCACUGGCUCGAUACUGACGCUGAGGUGCGAAAGUGUGGGGAGCAAACAGGAUUAGAUACCCUGGUAGUCCACACCGUAAACGAUGAAUGCCAGUCGUCGGCAAGCAUGCUUGUCGGUGACACACCUAACGGAUUAAGCAUUCCGCCUGGGGAGUACGGUCGCAAGAUUA